GAGCCCAGAGGUUUCCUGUCGGGCAAAUCUCCAAGCUCCCGGGUAAACCCAGAGGGUUGAUGCUGUAGCAUACACUUUGCAUGUAUGGUUGUGCAUCUGAAAAUAGCGGAUCUUUUGUAAGAUUUUCGUCGGUGGGGCGGUAAGUGCCAAGUCCAGGUUAGGGUCCACGAGAUGGUAGUGUCCCGACGACUGUCUCCAGGGUGUGUUGUCAUUUAUGGGAUCUGCCAGGAAGCGUACACAGCAUAACCUCAGGAUACGGGAAGUCUUUAAAAAAACAAAACCGGAAAGAGCCUAAUUUGUUAAUUUUGUGAAUUUGUGUAUUUUCGAGUCUCAUUCCAAAAAAAUGCCUCCCCUCCCCAAAGCCUCCAGUCAGUAAUUUCUGCUCUCUACGUGAAUUCCCUUUUUGCGUUCGUAGUUUAUUACCUGUCAGUACCAAUUUCUCUUUUGUGACCCUGGCGUUGUAUGUAUUUAAUAAAAGUUUAUUUCUACUUGGUAAUUUUUUUCGAUCAAAUUCACUUCAUAGAACGUGAACUUGACCUCUCGAAUUACAGUUAAAGGUUGUCAUACAUGCCAACUUUGGUAUUAAGGCAAAGUUGAAACCGCCUUUUCUCCCGGAAGUUUCCACAUGGGGUAAAGGACAACAGUCUCCUCGGAGUUCUCACAGUGCAACUUUAUCUCUCCCCAGUGACUUGGAAAAACUUAGAACAUCCUGCACCUUCUCCCGAUUUUUAAGGAAGGUAGAAGUGUCCGGUGUCCAGGCUCUGCUAUUACUUGAAGCAACUUUGUUAAUGAAACCAGUUCCAAAGUCUUGCCUGAUACUUCUGAGACCAUCUCUACGAGACGAAACACCCUUGUUUCGUUCAAAGUGGCAGUCGUGACCCAGCAUUGCGUCUCCGUGGAAAUGGGGGUGCGGAAGAGCCCCUCCGAAUAAUCACCAAGUAGGAAUUCUUGUGUGCGGUUACCCAUUUUACUGUUUCAAAUUUACUUAAGAGACUCAGAACGAAGGCACAAGGAGGUAAGUUUAGGGAGAGUGUUCCUGACGUUGUGAAUGUGACACUAAUAUAGAUGAAUCUUUCAUUUCUAAAAUACUUACAUUUAGGGAAUGUUUUGUUAGAAAAUAACAUUUGUUCUUACAAAGUUUUCAUUAUAAAAAAAAUACAUAGAAAAUGGAGAUGACAGCGAUUACUGAAAGGACCCUUUUGGUGUUGUGUUGUGCCUUCUGGAAAUUUCUGUGUGCACAGACACCUAAGGGAGAUUAAAAUGUUUGGUUAAUUUCUCAUAA
This is a long non-coding RNA of Suricata suricatta (meerkat), 1282 nucleotides long. RefSeq lists it as uncharacterized. Lineage: Eukaryota; Metazoa; Chordata; Mammalia; Carnivora; Herpestidae. The record is from RefSeq and is a predicted model, not a curated record. The transcript has 2 exons.